UACGUAGGGUGCGAGCGUUAAUCGGAAUUACUGGGCGUAAAGCGUGCGUAGGCGGUUCGUUAAGUGCGUCGUGAAAGCCCCGGGCUCAGCCUGGGAAUGGCGAUGGAAACUGGCGGGCUGGAGUAUGGCAGAGGGGGGUGGAAUUCCGCGUGUAGCAGUGAAAUGCGUAGAGAUGCGGAGGAACACCGAUGGCGAAGGCAGCCCCCUGGGCCAAUACUGACGCUCAGGCACGAAAGCGUGGGGAGCAAACAGG
Molecule: ribosomal RNA, 253 nt
Filed under: uncultured bacterium
Lineage: Bacteria
Description: partial 16S ribosomal RNA
Rfam family: Bacterial small subunit ribosomal RNA
Source: RNAcentral